UGUACAAAGGUAGCAUAAUCAUUUGUCUCUUAAUUGGAGUCUGGUAUGAAUGGUUGGAUGAAAAAUUUACUUUCUUUUUUUUAUAAAAAAAAAUUGAUUUUUAAGUUAAAAAGCUUAAAUAAUUAUAGAGGACGAGAAGACCCUAUAGAACUUUAUCUUAAAAUAAUUUGUUUAAUUUUAGUUAAUUAUAUUUUUUAAAUUAUUUUAAAAUUUUAUUGGGGUGAUAAAAAAAAUUUAAUAACUUUUUUUAAUUAAUUCAUUAAUUAAUGAUUUUUUUGAUCCUUUAUUAUGGAUAAUAAGUUUAAGUUACCUUAGGGAUAACAGCGUUAUUAUUUUAGAGAGUUCAUAUCUAUAAAAUAGUUUGCGACCUCGAUGUUGGAUUAAAAUAAGUUUCAGGAGUAGAAAAUUGAAUACUAGGUCUGUUCGACCUUUAAAUUUUUACAUGAUCUGAGUUCAAACCGGAGA
Molecule: ribosomal RNA, 465 nt
Filed under: Sthenaridea piceonigra
Lineage: Eukaryota; Metazoa; Arthropoda; Insecta; Hemiptera; Miridae
Description: partial 16S ribosomal RNA
Rfam family: Bacterial large subunit ribosomal RNA (bases 317-465)
Source: RNAcentral